Molecule: ribosomal RNA, 440 nt
Filed under: uncultured bacterium
Lineage: Bacteria
Description: partial 16S ribosomal RNA
Rfam family: Bacterial small subunit ribosomal RNA
Source: RNAcentral
CCUACGGGCGGUAGCAGUGGGGAAUAUUGCACAAUGGGGGAAACCCUGAUGCAGCGACGCCGCGUGAGUGAAGAAGGAUCUCGGUACGUAAAGCUCUAUCAGCAGGAAAGAAAAUGACGGGACCUGACUAAGAAGCCACGGCUAACUACGUGCCAGCAGCCGCGGUAAUACGUAGGGGGCAAGCGUUAUCCGGAUUUACGGGGUGGAAAGGGAGCGUAGACGGCGCUGCAAGUACGGAGUGAAAGCCAAUGGCUUAACCAUGGUACUGCUCUGGAAACUGUAGAGCUUGAGUGCGGGAGUGGCAGGCGGAAUUCCUAGUGUAGCGGUGAAACGCGUAGAUAUUAGGAGGAACACCGGCAGCGAAGGCGGCCUGCUGGACCGUAACUGACGUUGAGGCUCGAAAGCGUGGGGAGCAAACAGGAUUAGAUACCCUGGUAGUC